GGGCGAUUAGCUCAGUUGGAUAGAGCACUGGUCUCCGGAACCAAAGGUCGCGCGUUCGAAUCGCGCAUCGCCCACGA
Molecule: transfer RNA, 77 nt
Filed under: Deltaproteobacteria bacterium
Lineage: Bacteria; Pseudomonadati; Myxococcota; Myxococcia
Description: tRNA-Arg
Rfam family: tRNA
About the family: Transfer RNA (tRNA) molecules are approximately 80 nucleotides in length. Their secondary structure includes four short double-helical elements and three loops (D, anti-codon, and T loops). Further hydrogen bonds mediate the characteristic L-shaped molecular structure. tRNAs have two regions of fundamental functional importance: the anti-codon, which is responsible for specific mRNA codon recognition, and the 3' end, to which the tRNAs corresponding amino acid is attached (by aminoacyl-tRNA synthetases). tRNAs cope with the degeneracy of the genetic code in two manners: having more than one tRNA (with a specific anti-codon) for a particular amino acid; and 'wobble' base-pairing, i.e. permitting non-standard base-pairing at the 3rd anti-codon position.
Source: RNAcentral